RNAcentral lists this ribosomal RNA (269 nucleotides) under uncultured Planctomycetales bacterium. RNAcentral describes it as "partial 16S ribosomal RNA". It matches the Rfam family "Bacterial small subunit ribosomal RNA", at positions 565 to 832 of the family's 1533-position model. Lineage: Bacteria; Pseudomonadati; Planctomycetota; Planctomycetia; Planctomycetales. The record is from RNAcentral.
GAGCACGUAGGUGGGUUUGUAAGUCAGAUGUGAAAGCCUUCUGUUCAACGGAAGAAUUGCAUCUGAAACUGCGAGUCUUGAGUGUAGGAGGGGAGAAUGGAACUUCUGGUGGAGCGGCGAAAUGCGUAGAUAUCAGAAGGAACUCCGGCGGCGAAAGCGAUUCUCUGGCCUAUUACUGACACUCAGUGUGCGAAAGCUAGGGGAGCAAACGGGAUUAGAUACCCCGGUAGUCCUAGCCGUAAACGAUGGGCACUAAGUAGAGGGGUUUU